AGCUUGCUCCUCUGACGUUAGCGGCGGACGGGUGAGUAACACGUGGAUAACCUACCUAUAAGACUGGGAUAACUUCGGGAAACCGGAGCUAAUACCGGAUAAUAUAUUGAACCGCAUGGUUCAAUAGUGAAAGACGGUUUUGCUGUCACUUAUAGAUGGAUCCGCGCCGCAUUAGCUAGUUGGUAAGGUAACGGCUUACCAAGGCAACGAUGCGUAGCCGACCUGAGAGGGUGAUCGGCCACACUGGAACUGAGACACGGUCCAGACUCCUACGGGAGGCAGCAGUAGGGAAUCUUCCGCAAUGGGCGAAAGCCUGACGGAGCAACGCCGCGUGAGUGAUGAAGGUCUUCGGAUCGUAAAACUCUGUUAUUAGGGAAGAACAAAUGUGUAAGUAACUAUGCACGUCUUGACGGUACCUAAUCAGAAAGCCACGGCUAACUACGUGCCAGCAGCCGCGGUAAUACGUAGGUGGCAAGCGUUAUCCGGAAUUAUUGGGCGUAAAGCGCGCGUAGGCGGUUUUUUAAGUCUGAUGUGAAAGCCCACGGCUCAACCGUGGAGGGUCAUUGGAAACUGGAAAACUUGAGUGCAGAAGAGGAAAGUGGAAUUCCAUGUGUAGCGGUGAAAUGCGCAGAGAUAUGGAGGAACACCAGUGGCGAAGGCGACUUUCUGGUCUGUAACUGACGCUGAUGUGCGAAAGCGUGGGGAUCAAACAGGAUUAG
Molecule: ribosomal RNA, 719 nt
Filed under: uncultured Staphylococcus sp.
Lineage: Bacteria; Bacillati; Bacillota; Bacilli; Caryophanales; Staphylococcaceae
Description: bacterial SSU rRNA
Rfam family: Bacterial small subunit ribosomal RNA
Source: RNAcentral